AGGAGUUCGCCAAGGGGCCCCUCUCCGUUCUGAUGCUCAGUGUGAAAAAUAAUACCCAGGUUCUCAUUAACUGCAGGAACAACAAGAAGCUACUUGGUCGUGUCAGGGCAUUCGACCGCCACUGCAACAUGGUCCUUGAGAAUGUCAGGGAAAUGUGGACUGAGGUUCCGAAGACGGGUAAGGGGAAAAAGAAAGCUCUCCCAGUCA
RNAcentral lists this unclassified non-coding RNA (207 nucleotides) under Hevea brasiliensis (rubber tree). Lineage: Eukaryota; Viridiplantae; Streptophyta; Magnoliopsida; Malpighiales; Euphorbiaceae. The record is from RNAcentral.